UCAACCCUCAAGCCCCCGGCUUGGUGUUGGAGGCCUCGGUGGUUCGUCCGAACCACCCCUCCUAAAGACAACGACGGCGGCGACGAGCGUCCCCGGUACACUGAGCUUCUAACCGAGCACGUACUGGACGGGCCUCGUCUCCCCGGUCUGCCUCCCCUCUGGGAGAAUUUUUCUAA
RNAcentral lists this unclassified non-coding RNA (176 nucleotides) under uncultured fungus. RNAcentral's name for it is "sequence contains ITS2". The record is from RNAcentral. RNAcentral also lists the same sequence under 1 other name. Lineage: Eukaryota; Fungi.